This 338-nucleotide ribosomal RNA is filed under the name uncultured Chloroflexota bacterium. Its description in RNAcentral is "bacterial SSU rRNA". It matches the Rfam family "Bacterial small subunit ribosomal RNA", at positions 28 to 354 of the family's 1533-position model. The record is from RNAcentral. Lineage: Bacteria; Bacillati; Chloroflexota.
GAUGAACGCUGGCGGCGUGCCUAAUACAUGCAAGUCGAACGGAGACAUUGUAGCAAUACGAUGUUCUUAGUGGCGAACGGGUGAGUAACGCGUUGGUGACCUGCCCCGAAGCGGGGGAUAACAGUCCGAAAGGACUGCUAAUACCCCAUGUGGUCUCAGGGAUUAGAUGCCCUGAGUCUAAAGGAGUAAUCCACUUUGGGAGGGACCUGCGUCCCAUCAGCUAGUUGGUAAGGUAACGGCCUACCAAGGCUUCGACGGGUAGGGGACCUGAGAGGGUGGCCCCCCACAAUAGGAACGUAGAACAACGGUCCGACUAACACCUACCGGGAAGGGCGACG